ACGUAGGGUGCGAGCGUUAAUCGGAAUUACUGGGCGUAAAGCGUGCGCAGGCGGUUUUGUAAGACAGAGGUGAAAUCCCCGGGCUCAACCUGGGAACUGCCUUUGUGACUGGCAGGCUGGAGUGUGGCAGAGGGGGGUGGAAUUCCGCGUGUAGCAGUGAAAUGCGUAGAUAUGCGGAGGAACACCGAUGGCGAAGGCAGCCCCCUGGGACAUUACUGACGCUCAGGUACGAAAGCGUGGGGAGCAAACAG
This 251-nucleotide ribosomal RNA is filed under the name uncultured prokaryote. RNAcentral's name for it is "partial 16S ribosomal RNA". It matches the Rfam family "Bacterial small subunit ribosomal RNA", at positions 525 to 775 of the family's 1533-position model. The record is from RNAcentral.